RNAcentral lists this ribosomal RNA (492 nucleotides) under uncultured bacterium. RNAcentral describes it as "partial 16S ribosomal RNA". It matches the Rfam family "Bacterial small subunit ribosomal RNA", at positions 29 to 507 of the family's 1533-position model. The record is from RNAcentral.
AGUGAACGCUGGCGGUAGGCCUAACACAUGCAAGUCGAACGGCAGCACAGUAAGAGCUUGCUCUUACGGGUGGCGAGUGGCGGACGGGUGAGGAAUACAUCGGAAUCUACUUUUUCGUGGGUGAUAACGGAGGGAAACUUACGCUAAUACCGCAUACGUCCUACGGGUGAAAGCAGUGGAGCUUCGGACCUUGCGCGAUUGAAUGAGACGAUGCCGGAUUAGCUAGUUGGCGGGGUAAAGGCCCACCAAGGCAACGAUCCGUAGCUGAUCUGAGAGGAUGAUCAGCCACACUGGAACUGAGACACGGUCCAGACUCCUACGGGAGGCAGCAGUGGGGAAUAUUGCACAAUGGGCGAAAGCCUGAUCCAGCCAUACCGCGUGGGUGAAGAAGGUCUUCGGGUUGUAAAGCCCUUUUGUUGGGAAAGAAAAGCAGCAUGUUAAUACCCCGAUGUUCUGACGGUACCCAAAGAAUAAGCACCGGCUAACUUCGUG